UACAGAGGGUGCGAGCGUUAAUCGGAAUUACUGGGCGUAAAGCGCACGUAGGCGGCUUGGUAUGUCGGGUGUGAAAUCCCCAGGCUUAACCUGGGAACUGCAUUCGAGACUGCAUUGCUAGAGUAUGGGAGAGGGAAGUGGAAUUUCCGGUGUAGCGGUGAAAUGCGUAGAUAUCGGAAGGAACAUCAGUGGCGAAAGCGACUUCCUGGACCAAUACUGACGCUCAUGUGCGAAAGCGUGGGGAGCAAACAGG
Molecule: ribosomal RNA, 253 nt
Filed under: uncultured bacterium
Lineage: Bacteria
Description: partial 16S ribosomal RNA
Rfam family: Bacterial small subunit ribosomal RNA
Source: RNAcentral